CACGGUAAACGAUGGAUGCCCGCUGUUGGCGAUACACAGUCAGCGGCCAAGAGAAAUCGUUAAGCAUCCCACCUGGGGAGUACGCCGGCAACGGUGAAACUCAAAGGAAUUGACGGGGGCCCGCACAAGCGGAGGAACAUGUGGUUUAAUUCGAUGAUACGCGAGGAACCUUACCCGGGCUUGAACUGCAGCAGAACGAUUCAGAGAUGAUGAGGCCCUUCGGGGCUGCUGUGGAGGUGCUGCAUGGUUGUCGUCAGCUCGUGCCGUGAGGUGUCGGCUUAAGUGCCAUAACGAGCGCAACCCUUUUCCUUAGUUGCCAUCAGGUGAUGCUGGGCACUCUGGGGACACUGCCACCGUAAGGUGUGAGGAAGGUGGGGAUGACGUCAAAUCAGCACGGCCCUUACGUCCGGGGCUACACACGUGUUACAAUGGGGAGUACAGAGAGUCGGUCGUCCGCAAGUGCGAUCCAAUCAUGAAAGCUCUCCUCAGUUCGGAUUGGGGUCUGCAACCCGACC
RNAcentral lists this ribosomal RNA (515 nucleotides) under uncultured bacterium. RNAcentral's name for it is "bacterial SSU rRNA". It matches the Rfam family "Bacterial small subunit ribosomal RNA", at positions 798 to 1317 of the family's 1533-position model. The record is from RNAcentral.